RNAcentral lists this transfer RNA (73 nucleotides) under Neotoma lepida (desert woodrat). It matches the Rfam family "tRNA". Rfam says of the family: Transfer RNA (tRNA) molecules are approximately 80 nucleotides in length. Their secondary structure includes four short double-helical elements and three loops (D, anti-codon, and T loops). Further hydrogen bonds mediate the characteristic L-shaped molecular structure. tRNAs have two regions of fundamental functional importance: the anti-codon, which is responsible for specific mRNA codon recognition, and the 3' end, to which the tRNAs corresponding amino acid is attached (by aminoacyl-tRNA synthetases). tRNAs cope with the degeneracy of the genetic code in two manners: having more than one tRNA (with a specific anti-codon) for a particular amino acid; and 'wobble' base-pairing, i.e. permitting non-standard base-pairing at the 3rd anti-codon position. Lineage: Eukaryota; Metazoa; Chordata; Mammalia; Rodentia; Cricetidae. The record is from Rfam by way of RNAcentral.
GCCCAGCUAGCUCAGUCGGUAGAGCAUAAGACUCUUAAUCUCAAGGUCAUGGGUUCACACCCCACAUUGGGUG